ACUGGACGCUGGCGGUAUGCUUAACACAUGCAAGUCGAACGGCAGCAUGGUCUAGCUUGCUAGACUGAUGGCGAGUGGCGGACGGGUGAGUAACGCGUAGGAAUAUGCCUUGAAGAGUGGGACAACUUGGGGAAACUCAAGCUAAUACCGCAUGUACUCGAGAGAGUAAAGCUGGGGACCUUUAGGCCUGGCGCUUUAAGAUUAGCCUGCGUCCGAUUAGCUAGUUGGUAGGGUAAAGGCCGACCAAGGCGACGAUCGGUAGCUGGUCUGAGAGGAUAGUCAGCCAAGCUGGAACUGAGCGACGGUCCAGGCUCCGACGGGAGUCAGCAUUGGGGAAUAUUGGAAAAUGGGGGGAACCCUGAUCCAGCAAUGCCGCGUGUGUGAAGAAGGCCUGAGGGUUGUAAAGCACUUUCAGUGGGGAGGAGGUUUGGAAGGUUAAGAGCUAUUCAAAUGGACGUUACCCACAGAAGAAGCACCGGCUAACUCCGUGCCAGCAGCCGCCGUAA
This 506-nucleotide ribosomal RNA is filed under the name uncultured bacterium. Its description in RNAcentral is "partial 16S ribosomal RNA". It matches the Rfam family "Bacterial small subunit ribosomal RNA", at positions 30 to 523 of the family's 1533-position model. The record is from RNAcentral.